This 140-nucleotide ribosomal RNA is filed under the name Klebsiella pneumoniae. RNAcentral describes it as "partial 23S ribosomal RNA". It matches the Rfam family "Bacterial large subunit ribosomal RNA", at positions 2803 to 2925 of the family's 2925-position model. The record is from RNAcentral. Lineage: Bacteria; Pseudomonadati; Pseudomonadota; Gammaproteobacteria; Enterobacterales; Enterobacteriaceae.
GAUGAGUUCUCCCUGAGACUAUAAGUCUCCUGAAGGAACGUUAAAGACGAUGACGUUGAUAGGCCGGGUGUGUAAGCGCAGCGAUGCGUUGAGCUAACCGGUACUAAUGAACCGUGAGGCUUAACCUUACAACGCCGAAG